This is a long non-coding RNA of Manis pentadactyla (Chinese pangolin), 150 nucleotides long. RefSeq lists it as uncharacterized. The record is from RefSeq and is a predicted model, not a curated record. The transcript is spliced from 3 exons. Lineage: Eukaryota; Metazoa; Chordata; Mammalia; Pholidota; Manidae.
UUGAAAUUGGUGCCACCGUGGAAAACAGAGAGAAGAAUACUGCGUACAAGUAUGCUGUAAAUAGAGGAGAGAAAGAAAAGAGUGAAAAAGGUGAGAUGAGGAUGUUGGCGACAUCUUCCUUGUAAGUGUUGUGGGCAGACCGGAGCCGCC